UACGAAGGGGGCUAGCGUUGUUCGGAAUCACUGGGCGUAAAGCGCAUGCAGGCGGAUCGUUAAGUCGGGGGUGAAAGCCCGAGGCUCAACCUCGGAACUGCCUUCGAUACUGGCGAUCUUGAGUCCGGGAGAGGUGAGUAGAACUCCGAGUGUAGAGGUGAAAUUCGUAGAUAUUCGGAAGAACACCAGUGGCGAAGGCGGCUCACUGGCCCGGUACUGACGCUGAGAUGCGAAAGCGUGGGGAGCAAACAGG
This 253-nucleotide ribosomal RNA is filed under the name uncultured bacterium. Its description in RNAcentral is "partial 16S ribosomal RNA". It matches the Rfam family "Bacterial small subunit ribosomal RNA", at positions 524 to 776 of the family's 1533-position model. The record is from RNAcentral.